Molecule: unclassified non-coding RNA, 1868 nt
Filed under: Hevea brasiliensis (rubber tree)
Lineage: Eukaryota; Viridiplantae; Streptophyta; Magnoliopsida; Malpighiales; Euphorbiaceae
Source: RNAcentral
UUCAAUGGCCAGCCAACCUCACUUUGUUCUAAUCCCACUCAUGGCACAGGGUCACAUGAUCCCUGUAGUAGACAUGGCUAGACUCAUUGCAGCGCAUGGGGUGAUUGUGAGCUUGGUCACUACUCCUCACAAUGCAUCAAGAUUUGAGAAGGUGAUUUAUAGAGCAAGAGAAUCUGCUGGCCUAUCAAUUGAUCUCGUACAAAUCCCAUUUCCCUGCCAAGAAGUCGGACUCCCUAUCGGCUACGAGAAUCUUGACACUCUUCCUUCCAGGGACCUUCUUAAGAAAUUCUAUCUUGCACUUGCUAAGCUACAACAACCUUUAGAAACCUUCCUUGAAAAAGCUACGCCUCCUCCAAGCUGCAUAAUAUCAGACAAGUGCCUUUCUUGGACAUCCAUAACUGCUCAAAGGUUCAACAUUCCGAGGAUUGUUUUCCAUGGAAUGUCCUGUUUCUCUCUGCUGAGUGCUCAUAACGUAAGACUUCACAAUGCUCAUCUUUCAGUCUCUUCGGAUUCGGAACCUUUCGUGGUGCCUGGAAUGCCUCAGAAGUUUCAGGUAACAAGAGCUCAGCUUCCAGGAUCAUUUGUUAGUUUACCAGAUUUGGAUGAUGUCCGAAACAAGAUGCAGGAAGCUGAAUCAACGGCUUUUGGGGUGGUGGUAAAUAGCUUCCAAGAGCUCGAACAUGGUUGCCCCGAGGCGUACGAGAAGGCGAUAAAGAAGAAAGUAUGGUGUAUUGGACCAGUUUCUUUAUGCAACAAAGAGAACCUUGACAAGUUCGAGAGAGGAAACAAAGCUUCAAUUGAUGAGAAACAAUGCUUGGAAUGGCUAGACUCACAGAAACCGAGGUCAGUUAUUUAUGCUUGUCUUGGUAGCUUGUGUCGGCUAGAACCGUCACAAUUGAUAGAACUAGGUUUAGGCUUGGAAGCAUCUAAGCAUCCAUUUAUCUGGGUAGCAAAAACGGGGGAGAAAUCUUCUGAGCUAGAGGCUUGGUUUGUGAAGGAGAAAUUUGAAGAAAGGAUCCAAGGAAGAGGAAUGUUGAUCAAAGGCUGGGCUCCUCAGGUACUUAUCUUGUCUCAUCCAGCAAUUGGAGGGUUCUUAACUCAUUGUGGUUGGAACUCAACAAUCGAAGGGGUCUGCGCUGGAGUGCCAAUGAUAACUUGGCCUCUAUUCUCCGAGCAAUUCUUCAAUGAGAAGCUAAUUGUGGAGAUUUUAAGGAUUGGUGUCCAAGUUGGCGUUGAGGUUCCUGUAAGAUGGGGAGAGGAAGAGACAGUUGGAGUUUUAGUGAAGAAAGAAGAAGUGGAGACGGCUGUGAGUGUAUUGAUGGAUGAAGGAGUAGAAGGGCAAAAGAGAAGGAAGAGAGCAAGUGAACUUGCAGAAGUGGCAAGCAAGGCUAUGGAAUUUGGUGGAUCUUCCAACUUAAAUUUGUCAAUCUUAAUCCAAGAUGUUAUGAAACUUCAAACUGAAGACGUGGGUAGCAAUAAGAAUGAGCUUUAAUUCCGAAGUCACUCUAGAGAAUACGAGAUUUCAAGUUGAAAUUUUAAUCUAAACUUCAUUAUAGACUUUUCAUUAUGUUAUAUAUUUGAGAAAUCAUAUUAAAUGUGAGUUUAUGCAGUGGACUGGCUUUGCAUAGAAGCCAAUAGCUAGAUUAAAACUCUUAAACAAAGCUUUUAUACCUCGGCUUCUGUGCAUUCAACCUCAUCUGCACAGCUGAACUGGCAGUAAGGUUGCGGGUUCUAUGAGUGAAUUUGUUCUUGUGUAUGUUUUGAUCGAUCCUUAAUGGAAUACUAUGUAAUUAUCAAUGGAAUUUUGCAAAUAAUAUGAUCUUCUUGUUUGGAAAAUAUUUAAUGAUAUUAUAUAUGAAAUUAUGAGA